RNAcentral lists this ribosomal RNA (253 nucleotides) under uncultured bacterium. Its description in RNAcentral is "partial 16S ribosomal RNA". It matches the Rfam family "Bacterial small subunit ribosomal RNA", at positions 524 to 776 of the family's 1533-position model. The record is from RNAcentral.
UACAGAGACUGCAAGCGUUAUUCGGAUUCACUGGGCGUAAAGGGUGCGCAGGCGGCCAAGUGUGUGAGGCGUGAAAGCCCGAAGCUUAACUUCGGAAUUGCACCUCAAACUACAUGGCUAGAGCAUUGGAGAGGGUAGCGGAAUUCACGGUGUAGCAGUGAAAUGCGUAGAUAUCGUGAGGAAUACCAGAGGCGAAGGCGGCUACCUGGACAAUUGCUGACGCUCAGGCACGAAAGCGUGGGGAGCAAAAGGG